GGUAUAAUUUGACUUAUAACACUCUGAUUGGUUGCUUUCAAAAAAGAAAGCAACCAAUCAGAGAGUUAUGAGUCAAAUUACACAG
RNAcentral lists this microRNA precursor (85 nucleotides) under Pelobates cultripes (western spadefoot toad). The record is from RNAcentral. Lineage: Eukaryota; Metazoa; Chordata; Amphibia; Anura; Pelobatidae.